Molecule: ribosomal RNA, 1171 nt
Filed under: uncultured bacterium
Lineage: Bacteria
Description: bacterial SSU rRNA
Rfam family: Bacterial small subunit ribosomal RNA
Source: RNAcentral
AGAGUUUGAUCCUGGCUCAGGAUAAACGCUGGCGGCGUGCUUUAUGCAUGCAAGUCGAACGGUACUGAUAAAUCAGGCUUGCCUGGAAUAUCAGGAGAGUGGCAAACGGGUGAGUAACACAUAAGUAACCUGCCCCUAAGUAGGGGAUAACUCUGAGAAAUCGGAGCUAAUACCGUAUGUGGUGCUGGGGGUAAUGCUCCAUCACUAAAGCCUUCGGGUGCUUGGGGAGGGGCUUGUGUCCGAUUAGCUAGUUGGUAGAGUAACGGUUUACCAAGGCGAUGAUCGGUAGCUGGUCUGAGAGGAUGGUCAGCCACACUGGGACUGAGGUACGGCCCAGACUCCUACGGGAGGCAGCAGCAAGGAAUUUUGUGCAAUGGGCGAAAGCCUGACACAGCGACGCCGCGUGGGGGAUGAAGGCCUUCGGGUUGUAAACCCCUUUUCUCAGGGAUGAAUAAUGACAGUACCUGAGGAAUAAGCCAUGGCUAACUACGUGCCAGCAGCCGCGGUAAAACGUAGGUGGCGAGCGUUAUCCGGAUUUACUGGGCGUAAAGAGGGCGCAGGUGGCUUUUCAAGUCGGGUGUAAAAUCUCCCAGCUUAACUGGGAGGGAUCACUCGAUACUGCUAAGCUAGAGGACAACAGGGGGAGGUAGAAUUCCCGGUGUAGUGGUGAAAUGCGUAGAUAUCGGGAGGAAUACCAGUGGCGAAGGCGGCCUCCUGGGUUGUUUCUGACACUUAAGCCCGAAAGCGUGGGGAGCGAACAGGAUUAGAUACCCUGAUAGUCCAUGCUGUAAACUAUGGACACUGGGUAUGGGGAGUAUCGACCCUCUCUGUGCCGAAGCUAACGCGUUAAGUGUCCCGCCUGGGAACUACGGCCGCAAGGCUAAAACUCAAAGGAAUUGACGGGGGCCCGCACAAGCAGCGGAGCGUGUGGUUUAAUUCGAUGCAAAGCGAAGAACCUUACCAAGCUUGACAUGACGGAAGUAGUGACCCGAAAGGGGAUGACCUGUUAAGUCAGGAGUCGUCCCAGGUGCUGCAUGCUGUCGUCAGCUCGUGCCGGGAGUGAUGAUAGUCUGCACGAGCGUACCUCAUUGCAAGUGUAUUCUCUGCAACUGCCUCGAAACGGGAGGAAGGUGGGAUGACUCAGUCGCACGCCUAGGUCCUGGCUACACAC